RNAcentral lists this ribosomal RNA (425 nucleotides) under uncultured bacterium. RNAcentral describes it as "bacterial SSU rRNA". It matches the Rfam family "Bacterial small subunit ribosomal RNA", at positions 354 to 796 of the family's 1533-position model. The record is from RNAcentral.
GUAAGGAAUCUUCCACAAUGGACGAAAGUCUGAUGGAGCAACGCCGCGUGCAGGAUGACGGUCUUCGGAUUGUAAACUGCUUUUAUAUGGGAAGAUUAUGACGGUACCAUAUGAAUAAGGACCGGCUAACUACGUGCCAGCAGCCGCGGUAAUACGUAGGGUCCAAGCGUUAUCCGGAAUCACUGGGCGUAAAGCGUGCGUAGGUGGCGUGUUAAGUGAGAUGUUAAAUCGUGUGGCUCAACCAUAUCGAUGUAUCUCAUACUGGCAUGCUAGAGGACAGCAGAGGCAAGUGGAAUUACGAGUGUAGCAGUGAAAUGCGUAGAUAUUCGUAGGAACACCAAUGGCGAAGGCAGCUUGCUGGGCUACUCCUGACACUGAGGUACGAAAGCGUGGGGAGCGAACAGGAUUAGAUACCCUUGUAGUCC